Molecule: ribosomal RNA, 253 nt
Filed under: uncultured bacterium
Lineage: Bacteria
Description: partial 16S ribosomal RNA
Rfam family: Bacterial small subunit ribosomal RNA
Source: RNAcentral
UACGGAGGGGACUAGCGUUGUUCGGAAUUACUGGGCGUAAAGCGCGCGUAGGCGGAUCGUUAAGUCAGGGGUGAAAUCCUGGGGCUCAACCCCAGAACUGCCCUUGAUACUGGCGAUCUUGAGUUCGAGAGAGGUGAGUGGAAUUCCGAGUGUAGAGGUGAAAUUCGUAGAUAUUCGGAGGAACACCAGUGGCGAAGGCGGCUCACUGGCUCGAUACUGACGCUGAGGUGCGAAAGCGUGGGGAGCAAACAGG